GUGCUUGCUCCAGCAGCAUAUAUGCUAAAACUGGAACAAUACAGAGAAGAUUAGCAUAUCAUCAAUGCUUCAGUUGAGAUUCCUGCAUUGCAAGGAGUUGGACUAGAUUGUU
Non-coding RNA from Podarcis lilfordi (Lilford's wall lizard), 112 nucleotides. The record is from the annotation of a GenBank genome assembly. Lineage: Eukaryota; Metazoa; Chordata; Lepidosauria; Squamata; Lacertidae.